Molecule: ribosomal RNA, 450 nt
Filed under: uncultured bacterium
Lineage: Bacteria
Description: bacterial SSU rRNA
Rfam family: Bacterial small subunit ribosomal RNA
Source: RNAcentral
AGCGAACGCUGGCGGCAGGCUUAACACAUGCAAGUCGAGCGGGCGUAGCAAUACGUCAGCGGCAGACGGGUGAGUAACGCGUGGGAACAUACCUCUUGGUUCGGAACAACACAGGGAAACUUGUGCUAAUACCGGAUAAGCCCUUACGGGAAAGAUUUAUCGCCGAAAGAUCGGCCCGCGUCUGAUUAGCUAGUUGGUGAGGUAACGGCUCACCAAGGCGACGAUCAGUAGCNGGUCUGAGAGGAUGAUCAGCCACAUUGGGACUGAGACACGGCCCAAACUCCUACGGGAGGCAGCAGUGGGGAAUAUUGGACAAUGGGCGCAAGCCUGAUCCAGCCAUGCCGCGUGAGUGAUGAAGGCCCUAGGGUUGUAAAGCUCUUUUGUGCGGGAAGAUAAUGACGGUACCGCAAGAUAAGCCCCGGCUAACUUCGUGCCAGCCGCCGCCGUAAU